CAAUAGCGUAUAUUAAAGUUGUUGCAGUUAAAAGCUCGUAGUUGAAUUUCUGGUCAAUUUUAGUUUCGGCUUCGGUCGGUCUAAGGUUGGCCAUCCGUCUGCAAGCUAUUCUCGUCCUUCACUGUGUCGGUUUAGCGAGCUGACAUUUUACUUUGAAAAAUUAGAGUGUUUCAGGCAGGCUUUUGCCCGAAUACAUUAGCAUGGAAUAAUGGAAUUGGACUCUGGUCCAUUUGGUUGGUUAUUGGAUCUGAGUAAUGGUUAAUAGGGACAGUUGGGGGCAUUAGUAUUUAAUUGUCAGAGGUGAAAUUCUUGGAUUUAUUAAAGACUAACUUAUGCGAAAGCAUUUGCCAAGGAUGUUUUCAUUAAUCAAGAACGAAAGUUAGGGGAUCAAAGACGAUUAGAUACCGU
RNAcentral lists this ribosomal RNA (408 nucleotides) under uncultured eukaryote. RNAcentral's name for it is "SSU rRNA". It matches the Rfam family "Eukaryotic small subunit ribosomal RNA", at positions 592 to 1018 of the family's 1831-position model. The record is from RNAcentral.